AGCGUCUCGUUUAGAUCGUCUUUGUUCUAUACGGUUUGCUGCGAAAAACAAUUGAAAUUUAUAUUUUAUUUGAAACAAGAUUAAGUGAAACUGAACUUUUUUAUACAAUGGACCUUUAUGCACCAGGUUCUUCUGGGUUAACUGUUUCAUCAAGACACAGUAUAUAAUAUGUGAUGAUUAAGAACAUAAAUGAGAAGAGUUUUAGCGAAAAAAUAGAUAAGGUACAAGAAAUAAUAAUAAAUAAAUACAGUUUAAAUAGUAAGGAAAGGAAAAAAUUUAUCAUUAAAUUUUCAAAGCUAAAGUCGGAAAUGAAGUCACGGUGGAUAGCUGCAAAAAGAACAGAAGAUAAAUUUUUGAAAAUGAAUCGAGAUUAACUGCAAGGGACAAUAUCAAUGACGAGAAAAAAAAAAUCAAGUGUUGGUCGUCCCUCUAAAGACUUUGAAGACUUAUCGUAGCGUACAAACGUCGCGACGUGUAAACACUAUUACUUAUUAAAUACUAACUGUGCCCCGCGAUUUCACACGCAUUAAUUUUAGAAAAAAAUAGAAUUCCUCACUAAAUGAGUUAUAAAACUAAAAAUU
This 581-nucleotide unclassified non-coding RNA is filed under the name Melitaea cinxia (Glanville fritillary). RNAcentral's name for it is "misc RNA ENSMCXG00005014918.1". Lineage: Eukaryota; Metazoa; Arthropoda; Insecta; Lepidoptera; Nymphalidae. The record is from RNAcentral.